RNAcentral lists this ribosomal RNA (496 nucleotides) under uncultured bacterium. RNAcentral describes it as "partial 16S ribosomal RNA". It matches the Rfam family "Bacterial small subunit ribosomal RNA", at positions 28 to 506 of the family's 1533-position model. The record is from RNAcentral.
GAUGAACGCUGGCGGCGUGCCUAAUACAUGCAAGUCGAGCGAACAGACGAGGAGCUUGCUCCUCUGACGUUAGCGGCGGACGGGUGAGUAACACGUGGAUAACCUACCUAUAAGACUGGGAUAACUUCGGGAAAUCGGAGCUAAUACCGGAUAAUAUAUUGAACCGCAUGGUUCAAUAGUGAAAGACGGUUUUGCUGUCACUUAUAGAUGGAUCCGCGCCGCAUUAGCUAGUUGGUAAGGUAACGGCUUACCAAGGCAACGAUGCGUAGCCGACCUGAGAGGGUGAUCGGCCACACUGGAACUGAGACACGGUCCAGACUCCUACGGGAGGCAGCAGUAGGGAAUCUUCCGCAAUGGGCGAAAGCCUGACGGAGCAACGCCGCGUGAGUGAUGAAGGUCUUCGGAUCGUAAAACUCUGUUAUUAGGGAAGAACAAAUGUGUAAGUAACUAUGCACGUCUUGACGGUACCUAAGCAGAAAGCCACGGCUAACUACGU